AUGGAAGCCCCCGCCGCCGCUGCCGCCGCCGCCUCCACCCUCUCCGCGCUCGCCGUCUUCGUCAGCACCGUUGACCGCGGUGCCGUGAGGAGCGCGCACGGCUACCGGGUCGCCGGCAAGGGAGGGGGCUGCGGCUGGGAGAGGUGGGUGGAGCGGGAGUUCGCCUUCACCCCCACCUUGGCCCGCGAGGUCCCGCUCCCCGCCGACGCGCUGCGCCUGCUCCCGGCGGAUUGGCGCGGCCGCCCCGUCUACCGCGAGGGCCAGAUUGCCGGGCCCUGGCGCUGCAUCCUGGCAUUCGAUUUCGUCGCCGCCGUCGCCCCGCCGCCCGUGCCGCCGCCCGUGCUCUGCCCCUUCAGGAACCCGAGGCUCAUGUGUGUGCCUUCCCUGUACAACGACCUGACAAAGGUGUUCCAGUUUCAGAAAGUUGAAGAAAAGGUUCCAGGGCUCGUUCAGUGCGAUUCAGAUGAGAAAUUGACCACUUCGGAUGCAAAGGACAGAGUUUCUGUUAAGCAAGAGGCGGGGUCUGAUACCGAUGAGCCACCCCAAUUUGGUGAAGACCUUCUAGCACCAGCUGAGAAGCAGAGGCGAGCCCACCGGGAGUAUAUAGCUAGCAUUACUCUAGAGGACAUAACUCAGUACUUCCAUCUUCCAAUCAGAGAAGCAUCCAGGACUCUGAAGAUUGGACUCAGCAUUCUGAAGAAGAAAUGCCGGCAAUAUGGGAUACCUCGCUGGCCUCACCGCAAACUCAAGUCCCUUGAUUCGCUGAUUCAUGAUCUUGAGUUUGUGAUUGACGACGAAACAGAAAGAGACGGCGUGAAGCAGGAGGAUCACAUGCAGGAUGAGAAGGAGAAUCAAGAUGCAAUCGAGGCGCUUGCUAAGCGGAAGAGGAUGCUGGAGACUGAGAAGGCGACCAUCCAGCAAAAGCCGACCCUGGACCUGAUGGCCGAAACCAAGCAGUUCAGGCAGUAUGUUUUCAAGAGGAAAUACAGGGCAAAAACCCUAGUGAGCGAGUAG
Molecule: ribosomal RNA, 1014 nt
Filed under: Triticum aestivum (bread wheat)
Lineage: Eukaryota; Viridiplantae; Streptophyta; Magnoliopsida; Poales; Poaceae
Description: partial small subunit ribosomal RNA
Source: RNAcentral